AAUUGCAGUGUUGAACAAAUCUCUUCUAUGGACUUCGUAAUUUGUUUUGCUGUUGGUCACUUGGAGUAGAUCCUUGAUUUGAUUCUUCCGUAUUCAUGCUUUCUCCAUCUGCAGUCUCUAACAUUUCUUCAUCUUCAUCAUCAUCAUGUAGGUCUUUUGAAAUUAAUUGUCUGGCUAGUUUGAUAUUGAGUCCUUCAUUGUAGUGAAGCUUCCUUCUCAUUUCAAAUUGUCGCUUUUUUUCUCGUUCUUCAGGUGAGAGGUCACUAUCCUCCUCUCCUCUGCUUUCUUGUUCCUGAAUCCGAUACUUUGGCUCCAAGCCUUCAGCAGCAGCUAAUUUCUUGGCUAAGAUGUCUGGCGCCAUGGCUUCAGUAGUCUCGGUGUCCCUACACGCAUCUUCAUCAUCACCCAUCAUACUAUGGAUGCUGCCUGGAUGAUUGCUCCUCAACCAGAGAUGUCAGCCAGCUGAAACAUACCAGGAGACAACAAAGGACAUUCCUAACUUGGGGAAAAAUGGAGCAGGAG
RNAcentral lists this long non-coding RNA (522 nucleotides) under Pan troglodytes (chimpanzee). Its description in RNAcentral is "long non-coding RNA NONPTRT014314". Lineage: Eukaryota; Metazoa; Chordata; Mammalia; Primates; Hominidae. The record is from RNAcentral.